Long non-coding RNA from Neomonachus schauinslandi (Hawaiian monk seal), 195 nucleotides. RefSeq lists it as uncharacterized. The transcript is spliced from 3 exons. Lineage: Eukaryota; Metazoa; Chordata; Mammalia; Carnivora; Phocidae. The record is from RefSeq and is a predicted model, not a curated record.
AGAUCGCAGCUCAUGAGAGAAGUGCUCUAGAUAAUUGGAUCAAGGCUCAGGUUUGGGAGAGGAAGAUAGUGCAGCAGAGCAGGGAGAACGCCUAUGUGAAACACAGACUGCACAUGGUGAGGAGAGAGACGCUGCCCGAGGGAUCCAUGAGGCAGGAACCGAUGCCGGGAAGACCUGAGACACAGAACCGUGUGC